Molecule: ribosomal RNA, 247 nt
Filed under: uncultured bacterium
Lineage: Bacteria
Description: partial 16S ribosomal RNA
Rfam family: Bacterial small subunit ribosomal RNA
Source: RNAcentral
AUACGGAGGAUGCGAGCGUUAUCCGGAUUCAUUGGGUUUAAAGGGUGCGUAGGCGGCUUUUUAAGUCAGUGGUGAAAUCCUGCCGCUUAACGGUAGAAUUGCCAUUGAUACUGAAGAGCUUGAGUACAAUUGAGGUAAGCGGAAUGUGCGGUGUAGCGGUGAAAUGCAUAGAUAUUGCACAGAACUCCGAUUGCGAAGGCAGCUUACUAAGCCAUUACUGACGCUGAGGCACGAAAGCGUGGGGAGC